Molecule: long non-coding RNA, 16743 nt
Filed under: Capsicum annuum
Lineage: Eukaryota; Viridiplantae; Streptophyta; Magnoliopsida; Solanales; Solanaceae
Description: long non-coding RNA (CANN_LNC020714)
Source: RNAcentral
UGAGCACUGAAUAAUGUAAUCAUGAAUGCGGAAGAAUAACUGAAAUGACAUAAGGUUUUAAUAAUGAAACGACUACUGAAUUAUGAAUUUGGCAUAAUACUAAAAUCUGAAUAAUCUGAAUAGCUAACUGUAGUGUCUGAAAAACCCCUAAACUGAAUACAGUAAGUUGAUGGGAUAGGCCCCAACUAACCCUACUAACUACUAAGACAAAGAUAUGAAGUAAUAUAAUCUGUCCUCAGAUAAUAAGGACUCACCACUGCUACUGUACUGCUGAUAAUUUGAGAAUCUAGGUGUAAUCCAGGAACUGAGAAUCAGCACCUAUGAUAUGAGACAUCAUAGCGCAAAAGAAAAGAUAUGCGAUCAAUACUUUGAAUGCACUGGUAUGCUAAAUGAGGUAGACUGACAUACAAGGUUUCAUAAAUAGGAGAAAUAAACUAUCUGAAUAUACAUAUAAAGCAUGAGGUACUGAGUAUAGAACGUGAAACCUAUAGAUACUGGAGAUCUGUAAAGCACUUAAAAAACUGUAUAUGCAUGAGAGUCUGUAAAUACUGAAAAUACAUGAAAAUUUGUAGACCCUAAGGAUGCAUGACUAAGCAUAUAACAUGGACUGAGUAAAAUAUAUAAACUGAAUUAUUGACAAAAUACUGAUAUCUAUAUGCUUUGGUCAAACAACUCUAAGACUGCAUAACUGAACUGGGACUAUAUCUGAGACUGUGGGAGGUAUCAUCUAACUGACAUGCCCUAAUUUGAGCUAAUCGGGGUCCAACUUGUAACCCCAAUUAGAUGGGAGUUAUUACCGUGCUACGGGUAAUAACAUUGGUUAUGUGGAUCCACUAGACUGAUAUAAUGUCCAAAGGACUAAGGGUGUCAAGCCUGAACUGACGGGUAACCCCUGCGAGAUAGUCAAGCCUAAUUUGACGGGUGACUUUUUAUAUCCUACGCUGGCAACAUAGUUCUAGAAUAUAGGGACUGCUACUAACGACUCUGCCUAUCUAACGGGGAAUUCACCAUCCCUACACUCCCUUAGUGCUAAAUCCUACUCCCAACUGAAAGACACUUAGACACUAGACUAUUCUGGGUUUAAUGACUGAUAUCUAACUAUUUUGAUAAUGCUUAUAGUAUAAUAUGGAGACUAUUCUAUAAUGUACUGUGACUAGACUAAAUAAAAAACUAUGGUUUUUUGAGUAUUCAAUAUCCCCAGGACUCAAAACAACAAUACUGAAAAGACACUAAAGCUUGGGGGACAAAGCAUGAAGGCUUUUAUUAAAUCCAUCACUCUUGUAGGCAUUUUAUCAAACACUUGUAGUUCAUGAUUUAAAACAAUCAUAGGAAUGUCAUAAAACUUAUAGAAAUAGCAUGAAUUCGACAUAAUAGUAUUAAAUCAUGGUUUAAUCCAAUAAAUAAUAAUAUUAAGACAUGGAGGAUUGGAUAACAACAAUAAUUUCAUUGAAUCAUGGCAUAAAAUUAAUAGUACAUGGAGAUUCAUGGGUGAAAUCACAAUUCAAAUCAAUUAACUUGAAAAGAUGAUAGAUUUGUAAUUAAAACGGAUACUUGGACUCCAUGGAUAAAAGGGAUCCAUGGAUGAACAUCUAACAUACCUGGGAUGAUGAAUUUGGAAGGAUUGAUGGAGAGUUCUUAAGAUUUGACCUUGAUUCUUGAAGUUUAGGGUUUUGCUAAUUGAGAGAAGUUUCUUGAUUUGGGGAAAAAUUGAUUAAAAUAAUGCCCAAUUAGGUUAUUAGGUACUUAAUUUCAUGUUUGGGGUUGACUGGGUUAAGGAAAAAGUACUUAAAAGCCCUUAGAAUUAAAACUCGAAAUGAACUAAAAAUCUUAAUUUUUUGGGCUGGCGCGACGCAGGGAAAUCACGGUCCUUCACUGAUUGGGACCUGAAAUUUCACUGCGACGCGGUGGUAUCACGCUUCGACACUGGAAAUGGACAAAUGUCAAGUUGGCCUACGGCGCGAUGCGCCAAAAUUGUGGACCCUCACUGGAAUUUGCCAAAUGGGAGAUUGGCUUGCUCCACGAUGCGCUAAACGUUAAAAUAAUGGUGUUUAAUGUCUGAAAAUUAAAAUCGCCAUAACUUCUUACCCGAUUAUCGGAUUUAGGAAAAUUUUAUAUCAUUGAAAAGCUAAUAUAAUUUCUACGCAAUGGCAGACUAUAAACUGAAAAAUAAUGAGUGUGUCAAAAAUUUCAUAUACGAAUACUCACGUAUUGGGACUUAGAUUAUUCUAGGAAAAUACGGGGUAUUACAGAUCGACCCCAACCUAGUUGGGUUAUUAUAUUUGCAAUCAAAUGCAUUGUACUUCUACUUAGAGUGUAGUUUUGGGAAACAUCAAUUCCCCAAUUCCUUCAACAUUAACCUGUAUGAAUACACAAGAUUAGUAUAAAGUGGGGAAGCAUAGUGAAGUUGAUAAAUUAGGUCAAUUGAGUCUGUUUCAAUUUCCGCCAGGGUGAUAUUUUUGUCUUUUGCCAAGUGAAGGCCUUGAACUAAAGCUUGGAGCUCGGACAUGGUGGGAUUGAGGGAGGUAGUUUUUAUAUAAAAACCCACCACCCAUUGUACGUUAGAGUUUUUGAUGACUCCGUCUAUUCCAGCAAUGAGAUUUUGAGGAAAAAACGCCCCAUCUAUAUUUAGUUUGAGGCCAUUAGUAGGGGAAAACCAUAGAAUGGGAACAACUAUUUUAGCAUAUUUUUGAGGGAUUUUAGUAGCAGUGUACACAUAUUCCAAAGAAAGCAUUAAGACAUAGUUAUAGGAGACAGGCUGCGGCAGGUCGCGGGCCUUGUUAAAAAUCGUUUGAUUUCUAUAAAUUCAUAUAUUCCAUAAUGAGAAUAGGUAAAAAAACACGCCAAGAGACACUGGAGUUUCAAAGAAGAAUCUUAAUAUUGUUAAUAAUAGAGAGCCAGUGGGCAGAGGUAUUAAUAAGAUUGUUCAUAUUUAAACCCAUAUCUAACCAAAGUUUUCUAAGUCAAGGGAAAUCAAAGAGGAUAUGGGUUAAGUUUUCUAUCUCAUCGUUACAAAUAGCACAAUUCGCAUUAGUGAGUAACCCUAGAUGAUAAAUAUGAGCGUUUGAAGGAAUUUUAUUAUGAGAGCAUAACCAAAGAAAUGUUUUAAUUUUGGGAAGAGUAUUGAGAUCCAUAUUCAAUCAAACUUAUAAAUACUCCAGGUUUGAUGCAUAUGUAAGAGUUGGCAAGCCGAUCUGAUUGAUAAUAAACUGUUGGAGUUUAACGCCUAGUAGGUAAUAUCAGGUAUAAAGUGGUUGAUCUUUAGCUUAGAAGAUUUGUGCUUGAUGUCUGUAGGAAUUUCCAUGGAUAGGUAGUUCCAGUUCCAAGAGUCUUGGUUCCAAAGGUCUUUGAGUCUGACAGGGUUUCAAUCGUACUCCUAUUUUUCGGCGCCCAAGAGAUAGCCUUUGCGCAAAUGAAACUCAUACACAAGAUAUUUUUCCAAAUAAAUGAGGGUUUGGUUCUAUAGAAAGAAGGCCCAUAUUUAUUUAAGAAAUUUGUAGCCCAAAAAGAUCGAGUAUAUUAAAUUGUCACAAGUGUGACGACUUGUCACCAAUGUCGUCAACCUUAAGCAGAAAAUCAUAAAAUCCACCCUUUUGUGAUGACAUUUCGUGACGACUUGUCACGAAUGUUGUCAGCUAUUUUUCAGCAAUUAAAGGACAUUUUUGCAAUGGUAUUUUGGUCUUUUUCCAUCUUUUGGAGGCCCCUAUAUAUAUGAGAAUUCUCAUUUAAACCCUAAUUUCUUCAUUCUCUCUUCCAAUUCUCUUAAGAAAUAUAUCUAGGAUUUUUAUUUAAGGAUAUUAAUCUUCCAAAAAUCAUCCAUAAAUCUUCAAGAUUUCUUCAAGAAUCAAGUUCCUCAUAGUGUGGGCUUCGAGAAUCAUUUAUUACAAGUGCGGAUAGAGUCUCAAGCAUUAGAAUUCAUCCAAUUUCAAAGAUUAAAGUAUGUGGGGUUUUGAACAAUAGCAAUUCUUUCGUUCUUGUGCCCAAAGCUUUGAUUUCUAUCAUGGAUUUAUAUGAUUUUUCAAGUGGGUUUAUACCCAAAUUACUUCAUAUUUUUAUUUUUACUUGUGGUUUACUUAAUUUGUUUGAAUCAUAACAAACUGGUAUCAAAGCUUGGUUGAUUGUUUUCUCGGGGAUGACAACUAUAAAGUAUGAUAUUUCAUUGUUGGAUCGUAAUACUAGAUUUUUGUUAUGGCAGGUUAAGAUACGGGCUGAGCUCACAAAGAUGGAUUUGAACGAUGCGCUGUUAGGGUUAGAUCACAUGCCCUCAUCGUGGACCGGUGAUGGUAAACAGCGUAAGGAUUGAAAGGCACUAUCUCAGAUCCACCUUCAUUUAUCUAAUAAGAUUUUGCAGGAUGUUUUGAAGGAGACCACUGCCAUUGCGUUAUGGUUGAAAAUGGAAUCAUUGUGUAUGACGAAGAGCCUAACUAGUAAGUGCAUCUCAAACAAUGACUUUAUUCCUAUUGUAUGUCUGAGGGUGCGUCCUUGGAGGAUCACCUAUCUGUCUUUAAGGAAAUGGUCUCUGAUUUAGAGAAUCUGGAGGUUAAGUACGAUAAGGUAAAUUUAGGGUUAAUUCUGUUGCGUUCGCUGCCUGCAUCAUACUUGACCUUUAGGGCUAUGAUUUUAUAUAGUCGUGAUACCCUGAUCAUAGAUGAAGUCUAUGAUAUGUUGUUCUCUAAAGAGAAUAUGAAGUAUCUUGUGAAUGGGUUGGAGACUCAAGGAGAUGGUCUUAUUGUUUGAGGAAGGACUCGUAAGAGGAACUCUAGGGGUGAUGAUAGGUUUAGAUCGAAAUCCAGAAAUAGAAACAAAACCUGUAAUUACUGCAAGAAGAAGGGCCAUAUCAAAUUCGAGUGUUGGAAGUUAUAGAAUAGAGAGAAAAGAGAAGCUCCAAAACCAAAGGGAAACUAACCAGAGAAGUUCGAUAAAGCCAGUUUUAUUGAAGAUGGUGAUAGUGAUGGAGAACUCUUGGUUGUUUUUUAUGGUAACUCCAAACCCUAUGAGGAUUGGAUUCUUGAUUCAGCUUGCACGUUUCAUAUGUGUCGCAAUCGGGAUUGGUUUACAACAUAUGAAACAGUCUCAAAAGGUGUUGUGUUGAUGGGAAAUAACACACCUUGUAAGAUAGCUGGUAUUGAAACAAUCAGAACUAAGAUGUUUGAUAGGAUUGUGAAGACACUUGGUGAUGUGCGGUAUGUCCCAGACCUGAAGAGAAAUUUUAUUUUCUUGAGUACUCUUGAUUCGAACAGAUAUAGGUACACUGGUGAAAGUAUAGUCCUAAAGGUUACUAAAGGCGCUCUUGUUGUAAUGAAGGGACAGAAAUUUGUAUGUCUUGUAAGGCGCUACGGUUACAGGUGAUGCAACUGUUUCUACCUCCCCUCUAUCAGAAACUAACAUUGCUAAACUUUGGCAUAUACACCUGGGGCAUAUGAGUGAAAAUGGGAUGGCUAAACUAAGCAGGAGAGGACUUCUUGAUGGGCAGAGUAUUACCAAAUUAGAGUUCUGUGAGCAUUGCAUUUUUGGGAAGAAGAAAAGAGUCAGAUUCACUAAAUGCAUCCACUCAACUAAAGACACACUUGAUUACAUUCAUUAUGAUCUCUGGGGUCCUUCUAGAGUACCUUCUAGAGUAACUGCAAAUUACUUGUUGACUAUUAUUGAUGACUAUUCCAGAAAAGUUUGGGUGUUCUUCCUAAAGCAAAAGAAUGAUGUGUUGCCUACUUUCAAUGGGUGGAAGAUUAUGAUUGAAAAGCAAACAGGGAAGCAGGUAAAACGCCUUCGGACUGAUAAUGAUUUAAAGUUCUAUUCUAAUGAAUUUAAUGCUCUGCGCAAGCCAGAAGGAAUUGUGAGGCAAAAUUCAUUACUCUACAGUAGAACGGUAUGGCUGAACGAAUGAAUAGGACUAUAAUGGAGAAGAUGCGUUGUAUGCUCUCUAAUGCUGGUUUACCCAAGAUUUUUUGGGCCGAAGCUGCUUCCACAACUUGUCUUCUUAUUAACCGCUCUCCCUCAGUGGCGAUUGAUAAAAGAACUCUACAAAAGGUAUGGUCUGGUGUCAAGUGCUUAUUUAUGGAUUAUAAGCUGGGUGUUAAAGGUUGUAAGAUUUGGUGUCUAUAAAGCAGAAAGAUUAUAAUUAGCAGGGAUGUUGUGUUUGAUGAAACUGUUAUGCUUUGGGCUCCUUCCGAAUCUAGUGCUUCGCCUCCAAAUGAGUUUAGUGACAUAAAGAAGCAACAAUCAAGAACUUACGUUGAAUUGUAGAUUGGAGUAGAGUUUACACCAGUGCCUACUUCUCAUUUUAGCCCAGAGAUACAGAGUAGUACUAUUUCUUCUUCACCACCAGUGACGCCAUAAUAUUCUAUUGCUAAAGACAUGCCUAGAAGAGAUAUUAGAGCUCCUCAAAAAUAUGUUGAAGUUGAUUUGGUUGCUUAUGUAUUGAAUGUAGCAGAAGGUAUUAAUUUUGAUGAAGAUCCUUCUUUUUACUCAGAUAUAGUUAGUUGUGAUGAUUCCGACCGAUGGAUGAUUGCUAUGCAGGAGAAGAUAGAAUCACUUUAUAAGAAUGGCAUAUGGGAUCUGGUGAGAUCGCCUAAAGAUAAGAAAGUUGUUCGUUGUAAGUGGGUAUUUAAAAAUAAAGAAGGAACAUCGGGAGUUUAAGAUGCUAGGUACAAAGCAAGACAAGUUGCUAAAGGUUAUAAUCAGGUUCCAGGUGUUGACUUCACAAAUGUGUUUUCUCCAGUUGUAAAGCAAAGUUUGAUUCGAGCCUUGCUUGGUAUUGUGGCCAUGCAUGAUAUUGAGCUUGAGCAGUUGGAUAUCAAAACUACAUUCUUACAUGAAGAACUUGAGGAGGACAUCUAUAUACAGUAACCAGAGGGUUUUGUAGUCUCAGGAAAGAAGGACUACGUAUACUUGCUAAAAAAGUUUCUUUAUGGCUUAAAACAGUCUCCCAGGAAGUGGUAUAAAAGGUUUGACUCUUUUAUGACCUCUCAUAUAUUUCAGAGGAGUAGUUAUGAUAGCUAUGUCUACUUCAAGGAGGUACGUGAUGGUUCGUUCGUGUAUGUUCUUUUGUAUGUUGAUGAUAUGUUGAUUGCAGCAAAGGAUAUGAGAGAAAUAAUAAAAGUCAAUGCCCAACUCAGGAAGGAAUUUGAGAUGAAGGAGCUAGGAGAAACAAAGAAGAUUCUUGGCAUGGAAUUUAUGAGGGAUAGAGAGAAAUGUAAGUUAUACUUGAGUCAAAAAAGGUAUAUUGAGAAAGUGCUUCACAGGUUCAAUAUGCAAAAUGCCAAACCUAUAAGUACUCCAUUGGCAUCUCACUUCAAAAUCUCGUCCACUUUAUCUCCAAAGAUAGAUGAUGAGCGUGACUAUAUGUCUUGAGUUCCAUACUCUAGUGUCGUCGGGUCUCUUAUGUAUGCGAUGGUGUGUUCCCGACCAGAUUAAUCUUAUGUCGUCAGUGCAGUAAGCAGAUACAUGGCAAAUCUUAGCAAAGAAUAUUGAAAAACAGUUCAGUGGAUUUUCAGAUACUUACAUGGAUUUACUGAUGUUUGUUUGCAGUUUGGGUGAAAUAGAGAUAAAGUAAUCGGGUAUGUUGAUUCUGAUUUUGCAGAAGAUCAUGAUAAAAGGAGGUCCCUUACAGGCUAUGUUUUCACCAUUGGUGGUUAUUCUAUCAGUUGGAAAGCUACCUUACAGACUACGGUAGCUUUGUCAACUGCUGAGGUAGAGUACAUGGCUAUUACAGAGGCUUUCGAGGAAGCUAUUUGGUUAAGGGGUCUGUUUGGUAAACUUAGCAAAGACUUACAGAUUACUAUGGUAUUUUGCGACAGUCAGAGUGAUAUCUUCCAUAUGAAAGAUCAGAUGUUUCACGAGAGGACAAAGCACAACGAUGUUCGAUAUCUUUUUAUGUGUGAAAUUAUUGCUCGUGGUGAUAUUGUGGUGAGCAAGAUUAGUACUCAUGAUAAUCCUGUUGAUAUAAUGACUAAGACACUACUAAGUGCCAAGUUUGAUCAUUACUUGGACUUGGUUGGUGUUAGUUGUUAAGAUGUGCCCUUAGGGGCUUUUUGUGGAAGAGGUGGAGAGUUUGUGUUGAAAUGGAUUUGAGUUCUGAAUUAGAAUUUGUGUCAAGGUAGAGAUUGUUAGAGUUGUGACCCGAAUUUUAUUGAUUCGGCCUAGAAAAUUUUGCGGUACGACCCAUGUUUGUGAUUUUUAAUGGGGUCUAUGGUGGUAGCGUAGGGAUCGGGCUGAUUCCAAUAGGGUGCAGGAGCGAAGCCCCCACGGUAUGGACCUUUAUGUUUUUAGGCCUAGGACUUAGUUGUAUGCACGUAUUAUAUAAGUGCAUUUAGUGGGUUGUUUUGGGUAUUUAGAAAAAUAUGUCAUUGAGACAAUUCAUCUUCAUGUUGUACUCUCUCUCUUCAUUGUAGUGAAUUUCUCUGCCCCUGCUUGUGGUUUUUCCCGCAAGAGACUACCUAGUAUGAGGGGGUUCGAUGCUUUAUUUAGGGAUUAAGACUCUCUCUCUUUAUGUCUGCACAGAGUUUGGUUGCUACAGGUAGAUCUUUUGUGAAGGUUUUUAAUCAUUCUCAGGUUAUGGAAUAGAUACAUAGUGAGGCCUAAGGGGGGACCAAUAAGAGGCCUCGGUAUCAUGCAGCUUCAGUGGGAGACAUAGUGGAUCAUGAUACAGAGGUAGUAGUUCUCAGGGUAGGUAUCCUUAGCAUCAACCUUAUCAACAUCUAGGUUAGUCUAUUAGACUAUUCAUGUUACUUUUUAGAUCACUGAUGGAGGUCAAUCUAGUUUUAGUGAUCAUCCUAGCUAGAGUAAUGGCCAACCUAUGAGGGGUUCAUCUUCGGGGAUUCUAGUCGUGGUGGUUAUUCUAGGUCAGGCGGAUCUUCUGGGUUCAGUACAGCUCCAGGGGCAUGUUAUGGUUAUGGGGCCUUUGGCCAUUUAUCGAUAUAGUGCCCCAGUCAUGGAGCGAUAGUUCCUUCAGCUCAUAGUGUUUCAUCGAUUAGGGUAGUACAUUCCCCAACUAGAUGUGGUGGCCCCCAGGAUACUUUUGGAGGUCCUCAGGGAGGUAGGACAGGAGAUCAAUAAGAUCCCAGCCAGGUGGCGGGCGCGAUCAAUUGUACGUUGUACUUGCUAGAUUCAAGGCUGAGUCUUUGAAUAUUGUUAUCAUGUGUACAUCUUACUGUGCCAUCAGUCAGUUUUUGCUUUAUUUGAUCUGAGAUCUACGUAUUCUUAUGUAUCUAUUUAUUAUGCCCCAUAUUAGAGUUAUAUAAGAUUGUUAUCUAUGUCGUUAUGUAUAUUUACUCUCAUGGGUGAUUCUUUAGUAGUAGAUCAUGUGUUGUGAUUAUUCGAGAUUUUGAUACUCAGGCUAAUCUUAUUGUAUUAGACAUGGUAGAUUUUGAUGUGAUUCUGAGCAUGGACUGGUUAUCCCACUAUCAUGCAGUCUUAGAUUAUUUUGCCAAGAUCGUUACCUUAGCCAUGUCCGACAUACCCUCGAUUGUGUGAGAAAGAGCUAUUAGCCGCGAUCCGAUAGGGAUUAUUUAUUAUGCUUGGGAUAGGAGACUUAUUUUGAGGGGUUAUGAGUCUUAUCUCGCUUAUACUCGUGAUGUUAGUAUGGAGAGUCCGUCGCUUAUCUCUAUUCUUAUAGCUUGCAAGUUUCGUGAUGUUUUCCCUANNNNNNNNNNNNNNNNNNNNNNNNNNNNNNNNNNNNNNNNNNNNNNNNNNNNNNNNNNNNNNNNNNNNNNNNNNCUACAGAUCUACCUAGUUUUCCUCUUGAGUGCGAUAUUGAGUUUGUUAUUGAUCUUGAGCUAGGCACUCGACCUUUAUCUAUAGCACCUUACUGUAUGGCUCUUGUCGAGCUCAAAGAGUUGAAUUUGCAACUUCAAAAUCUUCUGGGUAAGAGUUUCAUCAUACCGAGUGUGUCUCAUUGGGGAGCUCUCUUGUUUGUAAAGAAGAAGGAUAGUUCCUUGAGUAUGUAUAUUGAAUAUAGGUAGCUUAAUAAGGUGACAAUGAAGAACCGAUAUCCUAUGCCUCAUAUUGAUGAUUUAUUUGACUAGAUUUAGGGAGCAGCGGUAUUCUCUAAGAUUGACUUGAGGUUCGGUUACCAUCAGUUGAGGAUUCGGGCCGAAAUUUCCCAGAGACAAAUUUUAGUACUUGUUAUGGCCAUUAUAAGUUCCUGGUGACUUUUUUGGGUUAACCAAUUCCCCAACUGUGUUCAUUAAUUUGAUGAACCGCGUGUUCAGGCCUUAUUUGAAUUCCUUCGCUAUUGUGUUCAUCAAUGACAUCCUUGUGUUUUCAAGGAGUAGAGAGGAACAUAUGCAGCAUUUAAGGAUUAUGCUCCAGGCUUUGAGAAAUCAUAGGCUUUUUGCCAAAUUCUCUAAGUAUGAGUUCUGGUUGGAGUCGGUGACAUUUCUAGGACAUGUGGUGUCUAAGGAUAAGGUUAUGGUGGAUCAUCCAGUGAAGAUUAAGGCUAUUCAUUAUUGGUCCAGGCCUACAUCCCCAUCUGAGGUUUGUAGCAUCAUUGGUUUGGCCGGUUACUAUAGGCGAUUUGUUGAGGAUUUUGCUACUAUUGCAGCGUCGAUGACCAGAUUGACUCGAAAGGAGGUUUUUUUUUGGUAUUUUAAGGAGCGUGAGUCAAAAUUUGGGAAGCUCAAAGGAUUUCUCACUUUAGCUCCUAUAUCGGCUCUUUCUAUUGAGGGUGAGAGAUUCACUAUGGAUUGAAAUAUUUUCGGUGUCGGUUUGGGUUGUGUUUUGAUGCAACAAGGUCAAGUUAUUACUUAUGUAUCGAGGCAGCUGAAGGUGCACGAGCGCAACUAUCUCAGUCAUGAUUUAGAGUUGGCAGUGGUAGUUUUCGCGCUUAAGAUUUGGAUACAUUAUCUUUAUGGCGUGCAUUAUGAGAUUUUCACGGAUCAUCAUUAUAUUCAACAUCUUAUGACCCAAAGAGUGCUUAAUUCUAGGUAGCGAAGAUGAAUGGAGUUUCUUAAGUAUAAUGAUAUCUCUAUGUUAUAUCAUCCGAGCAAGGCGAACGUGAUAGCAGAUGACUAUGUUAUAUCAUCUGAGCAAGGUGAACGUGGUAGCAGACGACUUGAGCUGGAAGGCAGUAUGGGUAGUUUGACAUCUAUUUUAAUUUUUCAAAGGCCGUUAACAUGGGACAUCUAGUCCUUAGCCAACUUGAUGGUGUGACUUGGUAUUUUAUACCCUAGGAGGACUCUUGUUAGUGUUGAGGCAAGGUUUUACUUUAUUUGAGCAGAUUCAGAGUUUUCAGUUUAAGGAUAUGAGAUUUUACAUCAUUCAUGAUUAGGUGUUGAGUGGUGAGUGCAAUAGGGUAGUCGACUUUGCAUAAGGCUCACAACUCCAGAUGCUCUAUUCAACCAAGUACAACUAAUAUGUAUAAAGAUUUGAGGCAGCAUUAUUGGUGGAGUGGUACGAAAAGAGAUGUAGCGGACUUUGUAGCUCGUUGCCUAUGUUGUCAACAGGUGAAGGACGAGCAUCAGAGACCUGGUGUCUUGAUUCAGAGAUUGCUCAUUCUCGAGUCGAAGUGGGAGCAGAUUAUCAUGGACUUCGUUUGUGGUUUGCCUAGUACUUCCCGUAGAUCUAGUGGUAUUUGGUUCAUUAUGGAUAGGUAGACCAAGUUGGCAUAUUUCAUUCCUAUUCAAAUGUCCUUCAGUUCUGAGGUGUUAGCCCGUAACUAUGUUUGGGAGAUAGUCUGGUUGCAUAGUAUGCCUAUAUCUAUCAUUACAGACCAUGGCUCAGUGUUCACAUCGACCUUUUGGAGAGCUUUCCAGGAGGAGUUGGAUACUCAGGUGGAUCGUAACAAAACCUUCCAUCCUCAGACUGACGGGCAGCCAGAGCGUUUCAUGUUCUUUUUGCCAUAGGUAGGCCUUCGUCCAAACAAAUUGAUAUAGACGAAUCUAGAUUUUGACAUAUUUUGAAUUCAGAACAAUUUCAAGUUUUCUUGAGGAGGGGAUAUAUCCAACAAGGGUGGCUGAGAGAGGCCUUGAUGGUGGUGAUAAAGACGUACAAUCGGUAUGAAUUGAUAGGAGUGAAGUAAAAUGAUGUUUUCAAAAAGUAAGUAUCCCAAACCUCGUUAUUGAUGAAUGAAGAUCAUGUGGUAAAGAUAUCAAACAUAAGAGGAGUAUUGACAAUGCCUUACGCUCAUCGGCUGGAAAGAGUUAAAAAUGGGUCGAGAUGAAUAAUAUUUCAUAUUCAUUGUCUUGAAGAAAGGUGUCAAAUAAAUGCAGAGCUUUGAAUAAUAUUCUACGUCUGCUAACUAGAAAGAAGGAAUCAAAUAUUGGAAGAAUGCUUGACGACAUUCCACUCCCGUUUGGACCAAAAAAAGUUAGACGUAUGUGAAGUUUUUUAGUGAUAUUCCAUAUUUGUGGACUUAAAGAGAAAGUCAAAGGAAAGAAAGCUUUUUUAGAACACUCGGAUUUCAUGGACUUUGAGAAAGAUAUUGGUGAAGUAAAGUUUAAACAAUGCUCUGUAUUCGAGAAAGGAGUGUCAAAUUUUGGCGAGUUUGGGUAAUACUCUAUGAUGUCGGAUGAAGAAAGAGUAAAAGAAGGUCAAUCCAAUUGUUCUGAAUCCAUUAUUGUUCGAUUUCUAGACUAUCUGAAUCAUUUCUAACACAAAAUACGUCAUAAAGGUUUCAUCACCCUCUGAAGAAAGGGUGGCUUCCUAAUUGCGAAGACGAUACCUUGAAUCGUCCCGCUUAAGGUUUAUGAAGCAUGACCUAUUGCUAGAGUAAAAUUUUUUCUAGAUGUUUUAGAGUGAAACUAAAUAGUUACGAGAAGGUACACUAACCUAAAUGCACUAACUCUGAAACUAGGAAAUUCAAAGAAGGUUUGGGGGGGUGUGAGACACCCCCGCAUGAACCACAGUGUGUGAAGUGUGUACGGCCAAGGACUCGAUAGAAAAAUGUAAAUGAGAAAGCAGUAACGUAUAGUGUUUUCAAACAAAUAAGGAAAACAAGUUUGGGUUUGGCUUGCAUCCUUUUCAAACAAAGCAAAAUAUAAAUGUAAAUAAAGCAAGUAAAAGAAAAAAUUCCAAAUAAUAAUCCUAAACUAAUUCUGCUAAGGUCAAAACCUAAUUUUAUCCCCAACAGAGUCGUCAUUCUGUCGCGCCCUAUUUCGAAUCGGUUGAAACUGCACACAACAUGUGGCUGCUGGUCGUGACUCUUGGGGUUUGAAAAAUAUUUUUUAGAGUCGCUAUCUAACUUCUUAGGAAAAUUAGGAAAACCCAUUUUUAUUAUAAAACUCUGUUUUGGUCUAUCAAAAAUAUUCUGAGAUUCUGAGUAAGGGUUUUGGUUACUCGAAGGAAAGGCGUUAGGCACCCCUCAAACCCUAUCUGAAGAUAGUCCUUAGACUCAAUUUAGGAAAAUAUUUGGGAAAAAGUUGUUUCUUCUUACUCCCUAAAAUAGUGAUAGGAACAUUUAUAUUAUUUUAGAACAAAAAAAAUCCAAGGUAUAUAAAAUGCAUCCAACAAAAAGGGUACCCUUGAUAUAAUGUGUAUUGGGGAAAAUAAAAUAUAAUUUUAUAAGAAUAUAAUGUUUAAUGGCGUAUGAAAUUAUAUACAUGAAUGAAAUAGUUUUCAAAGUAGAGAGAUAUAAUUUUAAAAAUGUGUGGAAUUUUAUUCAUUAUAAAAUGAAUAUUAGUAUCUAAGAGUACGAAGAAGAUAUGCAAAUUGGUUUAAUUGAAAAAUAAAUCUAUAUAAAAGUGUUUGUUACAAAGUAAAGAAAAGACGUCAAAACAUAUUAACAUACUAUUUCUCGAGUAAAUUAGACUUAGCGUAUAUUUAAAAUAUAAGUAAUCAUGUUAGUGUUUGUUUAUUCACAAAAUCUUAACGGAUGAAUUCGGGUAAAAUAUAACACUUGAAAGUGGAUAAAAAUAAAUUUGAUAGUAAAAUAUACAAGUGUAGUUAAAAUGUAAUAAAAAAUAAAUAUAAUAGUGAUAUAAAUAUACCUUGUGUGUAAUAGUAUGUGUAUACAUACCUCGCAAUUUUUAGCCUCUUGAAAUAUGAAAAGAACUCAAAACAAGCAUUGGAAUAGAUAAUAACACAAAAAUUGAAAUCAUUUUAUUUAUUGCAACAAGUCGAAACUGAUGAAUAGGCCUUUUCUUUUGUCAAAAAUCGAAAUUUUACUACUCGUGAUCACCCAAUAAUAAUAUUGAAACUCUUCUUUUAUUUUGAGAAAACGUUGAGUUGCGACAUCCAUUUUUGUAAGAAAAACUCCAUUUUGGCAAAUAUUUCGUUUCAAAGAAUAAGCGGAAUGUCAAAAGGGCUCAAGUCUUUCUAUUAUUAUUUAAGAAAAAAUCAUUGAACUAGUUGUGCAUUAAUUGUGAAAAAUGAGGACGUUAAGCUACUUCACAAGGAUCCACAAAUAAUUUGGCAAUAUAAAACAAUAAACAAUAAGUUAUCUUAAACAUAAUCAAUAACAAAAAUAAGAAUUAGACAUCAAUAAAAGGACGAGAGACUAAGGAAUACUAGACUCCAUUUAGGAGUUGGACUUCUACUUUACGCGACUCCGAGGCUCUGUGAUCCUAGUAGUUUGUUGACCCGAUGCUAUGUGUCAAGAUGAGUUCCACUGCGGAACUCCAACUCUCGAGUGUUCCAUGUAAGAGGAAGAAAAGAUAAAGAUUAGAAAUCAAACUAAUUAUAAGAAUUAAAAAAAGGAAAUACAUAUCGCAUAAAAACUUCAAUAUUGAAUUUUAAUCACUACCUAGCGUUAACAUGUAAAUAUAUAACCAUGACUCCUUAAUCAAAUUGUAAGAGAUACAAGGAACAAGGAAACAUACACCUACUGGACACAAAAAAUUUUUAAAAAAAUAAUUAGAAAUAAAAGUUCCUUUUGAACAACAUUUACCAACUUAACACCUAACUUAAUUCAAGUGAGCAUGAAGGGGGAAAUAAACCAAUCAAUAGUUCGAACAAUUUAAUGGGAAAAGAACUACGUUUUGAUCCUUAUGAAUUAACUCUUAAAAGCUCGCAACAAGAUAUCAAAAUAGUGAUUACUUAAAUAUUAUUCAAAUACAUCCCCACCAAGGCUUGGAUCAAAACAUAAAGAGGAGGGGGAGAAACUGUAAGAAACAUGUUUAUCCUAUAUUAACAAGAUGGGAAAGAAAUCUCAGGUGACGUGAUUCAACCAAUUUUUAAAGCUUACUAACAAACAUGUAGCCUCCCUCUAUUGUUCUCCUUGUUUACAUGUUCUAUAUAUAACCCGGCAAACUACACAAAACUACGCCACUAUAUUAAACGAGAACGAUCAAGUGUAUUAUCUCCAAAAAUACACACAGAGAAUACAAACAACAACAGUAAAACAAAAUUCAGAUUGGAUCAACAAUGAAAUCACUCUAAUGUACUUGAAACAACUACAAACUUUAAAACAACAAAUGAGUUUGAUUUGCUAAAUAAACAAACAACAACACCUAAAACAAGAUAAACAGACACAUACGCACAUCCAAACAGGGGAACACGAGAAACAUGGAACUCUAUUCUGCUUCCAACAGUUCCAAAGCAAGAUGAGGACAUACACGCACGUUUACAAACCUCUAUGUUUGCAUUUUUAUCCACAGAAUAGUUUUCACAAAAAAAAUCAGCUCUGUGAUUUUAUCCCCAAGCCAACAGAAGCAACAACAAAUGUAAACUUAACAGAGGUUCGCGCACAAGCCCAAUUUUCAAAACCAGUCAUCGACAACCCAAACUAUUGGAAUUCAUACAAUGAUCCGUCCUUAACAAACAAACACAAAACUUCAACGAAUCUAAACUAAGAUUUCAAGAUCAAAGCAAAUCAUCUUAUAUUCACGGAAACAAAAAAUGAAUGAAAAAUAAAGAGAUGAAAGUAAAGUAAAAGGAGGCGGGUUCGCACCUUUUUUCGGGUAGCAAUACUGAGGCUCAACGUCAAGGAUUCUUCCGGCAACGAACUCAGACCCGAAACUUGAACUCGCUCCUUGUUUUCUAUCGAUUUUUCCACACUUUACUCUAUUUUUUUCCCCAAAGUUAAGCCCUUUUUUUGUCAAUUUCCGACCUUACUCACUAGCUUUUUUUUCACUCUUUCUUCACUGAUUUUUGUUUCUUUUGCACCCCCCCCCCCUUUUGAAGCUUAAGAACACCCAUAUGUAUAGAUGAAAAUCAAAAAAAAAUCGCCAAAACGUGAGAUUCGAAAUUUGAAUUCAAGUUUUGAUGAGACCUGUCUCUGCCUUAGCGAUUUUAUGCCGAUUUGACUGAAAUAGUGCGUUUUUCACUAAUUUAGGACUGGUCUCUCUGAUUAAGGGGAAAUACCGGGUUGAAAAUGUCAAAAAUGGGGAUCUUCGCAGGGGGUGGCAGCUAUGGCUCCCACGGCACAGCUAGGGUUUGGUUUGGGGGUGGUGGAGGAGCGGGGAAGGAGAAGAAACAAAAGGGUCAAUGAUUGUUGUUUGUUGUACUAAUUGUUGACUAGAAAUAUAGGUCGUCCGAUCAUUUAAAUCAGACGGUCCAAAUUUAAUAUAGGAAUAUAAUAAAAUAAUAAAUUAUAUACAUAAAUAUAAAAAUAACUAAAUAAUUAAAAAAUUUGAGACUCUCAGAGUAGAAAUAAAUUAACGGACUAGACCAAUUUGUAUUUUUUAGGGUGAAGCGGAUUUGGCAAUUGUAUUGAGUUUCAGGUCAAAUUUAUAAAUAAGAGUUGGGUUUGAAAAUAAAGUUGAAAUUGGAUUAGUGUUGGCCUGAAUACUCUUUUUCUACUAAAAUUAAUUUUGUUCAUGCUUCCUGCUACCCUAAAAUUAUUUUAAUCUAACGUAUAAAAAUUAAAUAAAU